GGAAAGGCCCUUCUGGGUACUCAAGCGGUGUACCCGCGAGUAAAAAGAGAAUAANCUGUCACUGACUUCGGGAUAAGCCUGGGAAACUGGGUCUAAUACCGGAUAGGACCCUUCACUGCAUGGUGUGGGGUGGAAAGUUUUUUCUGUUGGGGGUGGACUCACGGCCUAUCAGCUUGUUGGUGGGGUGGUGGCCUACCACCGCCUCCACAGGUAGCCAGCCUGUAAGGGCGACCGGCCACACUGGGACUGAACAACGGCCCAUACUCCUACUGGAGGCAGCAGUGGG
Molecule: ribosomal RNA, 286 nt
Filed under: uncultured bacterium
Lineage: Bacteria
Description: partial 16S ribosomal RNA
Rfam family: Bacterial small subunit ribosomal RNA
Source: RNAcentral